UGGAAGUAAAAAGUCGUAACAAGGUCUCCGUUGGUGAACCAGCGGAGGGAUCAUUACCGAGUUUACAACUCCCAAACCCCUGUGAACAUACCACUUGUUGCCUCGGCGGAUCAGCCCGUCCCGGUAAAACGGGACGGCCCGCCAGAGGACCCCUAAACUCUGUUUCUAUAUGUAACUUCUGAGUAAAACCAUAAAUAAAUCAAAACUUUCAACAACGGAUCUCUUGGUUCUGGCAUCGAUGAAGAACGCAGCAAAAUGCGAUAAGUAAUGUGAAUUGCAGAAUUCAGUGAAUCAUCGAAUCUUUGAACGCACAUUGCGCCCGCCAGUAUUCUGGCGGGCAUGCCUGUUCGAGCGUCAUUUCAACCCUCAAGCACAGCUUGGUGUUGGGACUCGCGUUAAUUCGCGUUCCCCAAAUUGAUUGGCGGUCACGUGAGCUUCCAUAGCGUAGUAGUAAAACCCUCGUUACUGGUAAUCGUCGCGGCCACGCCGUUAAACCCCAACUUCUGAAUGUGACCUCG
This 518-nucleotide ribosomal RNA is filed under the name Fusarium oxysporum. Its description in RNAcentral is "partial 18S ribosomal RNA". The stretch from base 204 to 357 matches the Rfam family "5.8S ribosomal RNA". The record is from RNAcentral. Lineage: Eukaryota; Fungi; Ascomycota; Sordariomycetes; Hypocreales; Nectriaceae.